UAGGGAAUCUUCCGCAAUGGGCGAAAGCUUGACGGAGCAACGCCGCGUGAGUGAUGAAGGUCUUCGGAUCGUAAAACUCUGUUAUUAGGGAAGAACAAAUGUGUAAGUAACUAUGCACGUCUUGACGGUACCUAAUCAGAAAGCCACGGCUAACUACGUGCCAGCAGCCGCGGUAAUACGUAAGGUCCGAGCGUUGUCCGGAAUCAUUGGGCGUAAAGGGUACGUAGGCGGGUAAGCAAGUUAGAAGUGAAAUCCUAUAGCUCAACUAUAGUAAGCUUUUAAAACUGCUCAUCUUGAGGUAUGGAAGGGAAAGUGGAAUUCCUAGUGUAGCGGUGAAAUGCGCAGAUAUUAGGAGGAAUACCGGUGGCGAAGGCGACUUUCUGGCCAUAACCUGACGCUGAGGUACGAAAGCGUGGGUAGCAAACAGG
RNAcentral lists this ribosomal RNA (428 nucleotides) under Bacteroidota bacterium. RNAcentral's name for it is "Bacteroidetes bacterium partial 16S ribosomal RNA". It matches the Rfam family "Bacterial small subunit ribosomal RNA", at positions 355 to 776 of the family's 1533-position model. The record is from RNAcentral. Lineage: Bacteria; Pseudomonadati; Bacteroidota.